UAGAUGAACUUCAGUUCAGUUGCAUCUGGGAAUUCAAAUAAGUAAAAACAAUCGAAGCUGAAAGUUAGUCGCGAACAAGUGAACGCAGACGCAGGUCAGCCGUCGGGCAUUUAAGUUGAACCGUGGAAGCACCACACAGUACAAUUUUAUUAGCGAUAGUUAGAUAAAAACAAAAAAAAUACAACGGACAGUUCGUAGUCGUAGCGGCCUUACAAUGGGAAAAGUGAAUGGCGUGAUAUUGACCGCAGGUCUUCUAGUCAUCUUCGCUGGAGAAUGCUUCGUCGCAGGCAACGCAAUCGAGAGCAGCUGCGUGCUGCCACUGAAACCCGACUGGUCCUUCUUCUCGCCGUUGAUUUUUAGCCAAGAUGGUGCACUGAUUUCGACAGAAAAUGUGAGCGAUGAAACAGAGGAUAUCACGUUAUCCGUCGGUGACGAAGUGCUGCUGUCCUGCACACCGAACUAUUUCCGAGAAUUUUCUUCCGAAAAAGUUCUAAAGGCAAAAUGCAAAAAGGACAAAACGCUGGUCGUCAAUGGUCUGGACAAGAAUUUUGUUUCCGAACUUUCCUGCGAAGUGCGUUCGAUUGAGGAGAUCAUCGUCCCCGUUCGAGGUUGCCCAACAAGUGCCCGCUCGAUCGAGUAUGGGUACACAAACCCUGUUAAGGGCAAGUCGUACAUUCUGGGUGAAGCAUGUUACGACGUAAAACGUGGCCAGACGCUUUUCGUACACACCAAGAUUAAAUCAAGAAGCAAUACGGUAGAUGCUCUUGCCCUGAAGACAGAAAACAAUGCAAAUUACUUCCGCCAGGAACACCCGACCUCACGCUAUAAGGUUGAACUGAACAAGGCACUGAAUAUCAACGAUCAAGCCGAACGAUUUAAGGGAGUGUUCGGUAUUAAAAAUGUCCCCAAAAUUGAAGCACGUCGCUAUAUAAAUGAGGAGUUACUUACCCAUAAACAAUAUCAGGCUGUACUGAAGCUAGCAUGGAACUACCAGAUUGUCAAAGAUCUGGAUGCGCUGGAUAACUUCGAUAGUUUGGUAGAAGACAUAACUGAGCUAGAUGCCAAAGAAAUCGAAAUUUACACUGGAGCUCAUGGCAUUAUGCAAUUGAAAGACAAACACGACAACAACGUGGAUGUUUUCCUGAAGGAAAACCGCUUCCCGGUUCCCAAGCUGCACUGGACCGUAGUGCGCUCGGAGAGUAAAGCGGUAGCGUUUGCCGUGUUCAACAAAGCACAGCUCACAGACAAGGAACGGGACAAGGAUACUUUCUGUCAAAGCAUCUGCGACCAGCUAUCGUGGAUCAACUCGUUGAAGGAAAAUGACUCCUACAGUAAUCCAGCGCUCGGAUAUGUCCUAUGCUGUGAGCUGAAUGAUUUCCGCAAAACGAUAAAGGAAAUGCCACCGAUAACCGGGGUUAAAGACAUUCUGAAGUAGGAUCACCUGCCGAUUAGGCCGUUCCUAGCAAAAACACAAUUAGAGAAAAAAGUCAAGAAAAGCGCUGGCAUGUGAUUUAAAUUUUUAGUUUUACUAUUUAAUUAUAAACAACCCCCAAUGUGCAGAAUGCUCUCUUAAGGUAUAAGACACAGAAAACAAAAUCCUUUAUGGUAGACUUCUGACGAAUUGUUCUAGAUCGAUAGAUAGGCUUGCAUGAAGUUUUGGUGAAAACUAUGGAUUCCUGCGAAGUUGAAGUCUUUAGCUAUUGUUGGACCAGGCGGUAUCCCACCGUGAGUGCUGAAAAAGAGCUUCAGUGUUUUAGUAGAACCCCUGCGAGCAAUUUUCAAUUUCUCACUGCCAAGUCAGUCCCUACCUUCUUGAAAACGUUCGUGCACGAUGCCGGUAUACAAUAGGAGACAAAACGGAUAUUAAAACUUUCUUCAGUUAGAA
This is an RNA transcript of Wyeomyia smithii (pitcher-plant mosquito), 1885 nucleotides long. RefSeq lists it as uncharacterized. The record is from RefSeq and is a predicted model, not a curated record. The transcript has 4 exons. Lineage: Eukaryota; Metazoa; Arthropoda; Insecta; Diptera; Culicidae.